This 498-nucleotide ribosomal RNA is filed under the name uncultured bacterium. RNAcentral's name for it is "bacterial SSU rRNA". It matches the Rfam family "Bacterial small subunit ribosomal RNA", at positions 30 to 504 of the family's 1533-position model. The record is from RNAcentral.
CGAACGUUGGCGGCGUGGAUUAGGCAUGCAAGUCGAGCGAGAAGCUUUCCUUCGGGAAAGUGGACAGCGGCGAAAGGGUGAGUAAUGCGUAAUUAACCUGCCCCCGAGACCGGGAUAGCUUUUGGAAACGAAAGGUAAUACCGGAUAGUCCAAUCUGAUGGCAUCAUUGGAUUGGUAAACGGUGGGGAUCUUCGGACCUUCUGCUUGGGGAGGGGAUUACGUCCUAUUAGUUAGUUGGUGGGGUCACGGCCUACCAAGGCAUUGAUGGGUAGCUGGUCUGAGAGGAUGGUCAGCCACACUGGGACUGAGACACUGCCCAGACUCCUACGGGAGGCUGCAGUCGAGAAUCUUCCGCAAUGGACGAAAGUCUGACGGAGCGACGCCGCGUGGAGGAUCGAAGGCCUUCGGGUUGUAAACUCCUUUCAAGCAGUGAGGAAAAUCUGUAUGAAAAUAUUGUGCAGACUGACUUUAGCUGCAGAAGAAGCUCCGGCUAACCCU